AGAGUUUGAUCCUGGCUCAGGAUGAACGCUAGCGGCAGGCCUAACACAUGCAAGUCGAACGGUAAGGCCCAGCUUGCUGGGUACACGAGUGGCGCACGGGUGAGUAACGCGUAUGCAACCUGCCUCGAACAGGAGGAUAGCCCCGAGAAAUUGGGAUUAAUACUCCAUAACACCAUUAGGUCGCAUGGCCAUAUGGUUAAAGCCCCGGCGGUUCGAGAUGGGCAUGCGUGACAUUAGCUAGUUGGUGGGGUAACGGCCCACCAAGGCGGCGAUGUCUAGGGGUUCUGAGAGGACAGUCCCCCACACUGGUACUGAGACACGGACCAGACUCCUACGGGAGGCAGCAGUGAGGAAUAUUGGUCAAUGGGUGCAAGCCUGAACCAGCCAUGCCGCGUGCAGGAUUGACGGCCCUAUGGGUUGUAAACUGCUUUUCCUGGGGAAGAACACCCGCCACGUGUGGCGGAUUGACGGUACCCGGGGAAUAAGCACCGGCUAACUCCGUGCCAGCAGCCGCGGUAAUACGGAGGGUGCAAGCGUUAUCCGGAUUUAUUGGGUUUAAAGGGUGCGUAGGCGGGCUAUCAAGUCAGUGGUGAAAUCCCGCAGCCCAACUGCGGAACUGCCAUUGAAACUAGUAGCCUUGAGUGCGGUUGAAGUGGAUGGAAUGUGUCAUGUAGCGGUGAAAUGCAUAGAUAUGACACAGAACACCGAUAGCGAAGGCAGUCCACUAAACCGCCACUGACGCUGAGGCACGAAAGCGUGGGUAGCGAACAGGAUUAGAUACCCUGGUAGUCCACGCCGUAAACGAUGAUAACUCGAUGUGUGCGAUAAACAGUACGCGUCCAAGCGAAAGUGUUAAGUUAUCCACCAGGGAAGUACGUCCGCAAGGAUGAAACUCAAAGGAAUUGACGGGGGCCCGCACAAGCGGAGGAGCAUGUGGUUUAAUUCGAUGAUACGCGAGGAACCUUACCUGGGCUUAAAUGUAGGAUGACUUCGGCCGAAAGGUCGUUUUCUUCGGACAUCUUACAAGGUGCUGCAUGGUUGUCGUCAGCUCGUGCCGUGAGGUGUCGGGUUAAGUCCCAUAACGAGCGCAACCCCUAUCUUCAGUUGCCAGCACGUAAUGGUGGGGACUCUGGAGGAACUGCCUACGCAAGUAGAGAGGAAGGUGGGGAUGACGUCAAAUCAGCACGGCCCUUAUGUCCAGGGCUACACACGUGCUACAAUGGCCCGUACAGAGGGCAGCUACCUGGCGACAGGAUGCCAAUCUCUAAAACGGGUCUCAGUUCGGAUCGGAGUCUGCAACUCGACUCCGUGAAGUUGGAUUCGCUAGUAAUCGCGUAUCAGCAAUGACGCGGUGAAUACGUUCCCGGGCCUUGUACACACCGCCCGUCAAGCCAUGGGAGUUGGGGGUACCUGAAGUCGAUAACCGCAAGGAGUCGCCUAGGGUAAAACCGAUGACUGGGGCUAAGUCGUAACAAGGUA
RNAcentral lists this ribosomal RNA (1479 nucleotides) under metagenome. Its description in RNAcentral is "bacterial SSU rRNA". It matches the Rfam family "Bacterial small subunit ribosomal RNA". The record is from RNAcentral.